Molecule: ribosomal RNA, 2097 nt
Filed under: Triticum aestivum (bread wheat)
Lineage: Eukaryota; Viridiplantae; Streptophyta; Magnoliopsida; Poales; Poaceae
Description: partial small subunit ribosomal RNA
Source: RNAcentral
AUGGACGUCCCCGGCAGCGGGCACCAGAUGGACAGCUACUUCUCCCGCCCCAAGAUCCGGUCCCGGUCCAUCCGCAUGGCGGCCGCCGGCGUUAUCAACCGGUCGGAGCGGCUCAAGAACUUCGGCCGCGUCUUCCAGGAGGACCUCAAGAACAUCUCGCUCAAGGUCUACGACCCGCAGGACCCGUUCCUGAUGCGCAUGAACCGCCUCUUCGUCUUCUCCUGCAUCAUCUCCGUCGCCGUGGACCCGAUGUUCUUCUACCUUCCUUCCGUCACCGAGACGGAGUACAACACCUGCAUCGGGUUCAACCGCGUCCUAGCAGCAGGCGCCACCGCCGUGCGCUCCGCCAUCGACUUCUUCUACCUGGCGCGGAUGAUGCUGCAGUUCCACACCGCCUUCAUCGCGCCGUCGUCGCGGGUCUUCGGCCGCGGGGAGCUCGUCAUCACCAAAAGGGACAUCGCGCAGCGCUACCUCCACCGCUUCUUCAUCGUCGACCUCCUCUCCGUGCUCCCGCUGCCGCAGAUCCAGAUGAUCAAGUUCUUCCUGCGGCCCAAGGGCGCGGACCUGCUCCCCAUCAAGACGGCGCUCUUCUUCAUCGUGCUCACCCAGUACCUGCCCCGUCUCGUCCGCUUCUACCCCAUCAUAUCCGAGCUGAAGCGCACCACCGGGGUGUUCGCCGAGACCGCCUUCGCCGGCGCCGCCUUCUACCUCCUCCUCUACAUGCUCGCCUCCCACAUGGUGGGCGCCUUCUGGUACCUCCUUGCCGUGGAGCGCGUCGACGACUGCUGGCGCGAGAAGUGCGCGGGGCUCAAGUUCGACCGCUGCGUAAAAUUCAUGUACUGCGGGGGCGCCGGGGCGACCAAGGACGGGGAAAACCAGUUCACCGAGUUCAUGGAGUGGCGGACCAUGAUCAGGCAGGUGCUCAAGCAGGAGUGCGCGCCCAUGGACAACAACGGCACGGGCUUCGACUACGGCAUCUACAGCAAUGCCAUCACGUCGGGGGUCACCCACACCCAGGACCUCAUCCCCAAGAUCCUCUUCUGCCUCUGGUGGGGCCUUCAGAACCUCAGCACCGGCGCCCAGGGGCUAGAGACCACACACUACAAGGGGGAGGCCCUCUUCGCCAUCCUCCUCGCCCUCUUCGGCCUCAUCCUCAUGGCGCUUCUCAUCGGCAACAUGCAGACGUACCUCCAGUCCAUGACGCUGCGGAUGGAGGAGAUGCGACUCAAGCGACGGGACACGGAGCAGUGGAUGCGCCACCGCCACCUCCCCGACGACCUCAUGGAGCGCGUGUGGCGACACAACCAGUACAAGUGGAUGGAGACGCGGGGCGUGGACGAGGACGGGCUCGUGAGCUGCCUCCCAAAGGACAUCCGGCGAGAUGUGAAGCGCCACCUCUGCCUCCGCCUCGUCCUCCGCGUGCCGCUCUUCGCCAACAUGGACGAGCGCCUCCUGGACGCCAUCUGCGAGCGGCUCAAGCCCAGCCUCUGCACGGAGUCCACCUACGUGGUGCGGGAAGGGGAACCCGUCGACGAGAUGUUCUUCAUCAUCAGGGGCCGCCUCGAGAGCUCCACCACCGACGGGGGCCGCAUAGGGUUCUUCAACAAGGAGCUCCUCAAGGAAGGGGACUUUUGCGGCGAGGAGCUGCUCACCUGGGCGCUGGACCCCAAGGCGGCGGCGAACCUGCCCUUGUCCACGCGUAGCGUCAAGGCGAUCUCGGAGGUGGAGGGCUUUGCGCUGCACGCCGACGAGCUCAAGUUCGUCGCCGGGCAGUUCCGGCGGUUGCACAGCAAGCAGCUGCAGCAGACGUUCAGGUUCUACUCACAGCAGUGGCGCACCUGGGCGUCGAGCUUCAUCCAGGCCACAUGGAGGAGAUACCAGAAGCGAAAGAGGCUGGAGCAGCGGAGGCGGGAGGUGGAACAGAUGUAUGGCAUGGCGUCCACGUCGUCGUCGGGCCAUUUCAAGACAACGUUCCUUGUGUCAAGGUUCGCCAAAAAAGCCAUGCGCAACGUGCUACGUAAGCGGUUGCUCCGGGAGGAGAGCCUCAUCUUGCUGCCCAAGCCGCCAGAGCCGGACUUUGGCAGAAUGCACUACUGA